GACAGAGGCCUCGAGCGUUAGGCGGAAUCACUGGGCUUAAAGCGUGUGUAGGCGGGCCCGUAAGUGUCUUGUGAAAUCCCACGGCUCAACCGUGGAACUGCUGGGCAUACUGCGGGUCUUGGGCCAACUAGGGGCAGCCGGAACAAGCGGUGGAGCGGUGAAAUGCGUAGAUAUCGCUUGGAACGCCGAAGGUGAAAACGAUGCACUGGCUGAUUUCUGACGCUGAGGUGCGAAAGCCAGGGGAGCAAACGGG
RNAcentral lists this ribosomal RNA (253 nucleotides) under uncultured bacterium. RNAcentral's name for it is "partial 16S ribosomal RNA". It matches the Rfam family "Bacterial small subunit ribosomal RNA", at positions 524 to 776 of the family's 1533-position model. The record is from RNAcentral.